RNAcentral lists this ribosomal RNA (253 nucleotides) under uncultured bacterium. RNAcentral's name for it is "partial 16S ribosomal RNA". It matches the Rfam family "Bacterial small subunit ribosomal RNA", at positions 524 to 776 of the family's 1533-position model. The record is from RNAcentral.
UACGGAGGGUGCGAGCGUUGUCCGGAAUCACUGGGCGUAAAGCGCGCGUAGGUGGUUCGUUAAGUUGGAUGUGAAAUCCCCGGGCUCAACCUGGGAACUGCAUCCAAAACUGGCGAGCUAGAGUAUGGUAGAGGGUGGUGGAAUUUCCUGUGUAGCGGUGAAAUGCGUAGAUAUAGGAAGGAACACCAGUGGCGAAGGCGACCACCUGGACUGAUACUGACACUGAGGUGCGAAAGCGUGGGGAGCAAACAGG